This 1235-nucleotide ribosomal RNA is filed under the name metagenome. RNAcentral's name for it is "bacterial LSU rRNA". It matches the Rfam family "Bacterial large subunit ribosomal RNA", at positions 1564 to 2808 of the family's 2925-position model. The record is from RNAcentral.
UGAGUACGAGAUGCUACGGCAUCGAAGCAGUCUAUGUCAUACUUCCAAGAAAAGCUUGCACUGUCAUAAACAAAGAAUGCCUGUACCAUAACCGACACAGGUGGGUAGGUAGAGUAUACUAAGGGGCGCGAGAUAACUCUCUCUAAGGAACUCGGCAAAAUGACUCCGUAACUUCGGGAGAAGGAGUGCCUUAUUUCUAAGGUUGCAAUAACAAGAUCCAAGCAACUGUUUACCAAAAACACAGGUCUCCGCUAAGUCGUAAGACGAUGUAUGGGGGCUGACGCCUGCCCAGUGCCAGAAGGUUAAAGAAGUUGGUUAGCAUUAGCGAAGCUGAUAACUGAAGCCCUGGUGAACGGCGGCCGUAACAAUAACGGUCCUAAGGUAGCGAAAUUCCUUGUCGGGUAAGUUCCGACCCGCACGAAAGGCGUAAUGAUUUGGAUACUGUCUCGGAGAGGGGCUCGGUGAAAUAGACUUGUCUGUGAAGAUGCGGACUACCUGCACCUGGACAGAAAGACCCUAUGAAGCUUUACUGUAACUUGAGAUUGAAAUUGGACUUUAUUUGCGCAGCAUAGGUGGGAGGCGUUGAGAAUAAUCUUGCGGGAUUGUUGGAGCCAUCAGUGAGAUACCACUCUUGUAAUGUUAGAUUUCUAACUUUGUAUCAUUAUCUGGUCAAAGAACAGUUUCAGGCGGGCAGUUUGACUGGGGCGGUCGCCUCCCAAAGGGUAACGGAGGCGCACAAAGGUUUCCUCUGAACGGGUAGAAAUCGUAUCUAGAGUGUAAAGGCAUAAGGAAGCUUGACUGUGAGACCUACAAGUCGAGCAGGGACGAAAGUCGGUCUUAGUGAUCUGACGGUGCUGAGUGGAAAGGCCGUCACUCAACGGAUAAAAGUUACUCUAAGGAUAACAGGCUGAUCUCCCCCAAGAGUUCAUAUCGACGGGGAGGUUUGGCACCUCGAUGUCGGCUCAUCGCAUCCUGGGGCGGUAGUCCGUCCCAAGGGUUGGGCUGUUCGCCCAUGAAAGCGGUACGCGAGCUGGGUUCAGAACGUCGUGAGACAGUUCGGUCCAUAUCCGGUGUAGGCGUUAGAAUAUUGAGAGGAGCCUUCUCUAGUACGAGAGGACCGAGAAGGACAUACCUCUGGUGUACCAGUUAUCGUGCCAACGGUAAACGCUGGGUAGCUAUGUAUGGAGUGGAUAACCGCUGAAAGCAUCUAAGUGGGAAGCCCACCUCAAGAUAAG